GGGGGGGGGGGGGGGGGGGGGGGGGGGGGGGGGGGGGAGGGGGGGCGGGGGGUGGGGGGGCGCACGGGGGCGGAGGGCGUGGGAGGCGGGGCUUAGGUUCGGCAUAGCGCCGCGAAGGGGGGGCUAGUGCCGGAUAAUGUCUUCGGACCAAAGAUUUCUCGCUUUUGGAUGGGCCCGCGUUGGAUUAGCUCGUUGGUAGUGUAAAAGCCUACCAAGGCGACGAUCCAUAGCUGGUCUGAGAGGAUGCUCAGCCACACUGGGACUGAGACACGGACCAGACUCCUACGGGAGGCAGCAGUGGGGAAUAGUGGACAAUGGGCGAAAGCCUGAUCCAGCAAUGCAGAGUGAGUGAUGAAGGCCUUAGGGUGGUAAAGCUCUUUUACCCGGGAUGAUAAUGACAGUACCGGGAGAAUAAGCGCCGGCUAACUCCGUG
RNAcentral lists this ribosomal RNA (433 nucleotides) under uncultured bacterium. RNAcentral describes it as "partial 16S ribosomal RNA". The stretch from base 45 to 433 matches the Rfam family "Bacterial small subunit ribosomal RNA", at positions 39 to 507 of the family's 1533-position model. The record is from RNAcentral.